UACGGAGGGGGUUAGCGUUGUUCGGAAUGACUGGGCGUAAAGCGCGCGUAGGCGGAUCAUCAAGUCGGGGGUGAAAUCCCGGGGCCCAACCCCGGAAUGGCCUUCGAGACUGGUGGUCUUGAGUUCGAGAGAGGUGAGUGGAAUUUCGAGUGUAGAGGUGAAAUUCGUAGAUAUUCGGAGGAACACCAGUGGCGAAGGCGGCUCACUGGCUCGACACUGACGCUGAGGUGCGAAAGCGUGGGGAGCAAACAGG
This 253-nucleotide ribosomal RNA is filed under the name uncultured bacterium. RNAcentral's name for it is "partial 16S ribosomal RNA". It matches the Rfam family "Bacterial small subunit ribosomal RNA", at positions 524 to 776 of the family's 1533-position model. The record is from RNAcentral.